UUGGAGGGCAAGUCUGGUGCCAGCAGCCGCGGUAAUUCCAGCUCCAAUAGCGUAUAUUAAAGUUGUUGCAGUUAAAAAGCUCGUAGUUGAAUUUCGGGGUUCUACCGUUGGUCGGGCAAUAGUCUGUACUGGCGUGUGGAAUUUCUACCUUCUGGGGAACUAUCAUGUUAUUAAUUUAGCGUGGUGGGAAACCAGGACCUUUACCUUGAAAAAAUUAGAGUGUUCAAAGCAGGCUUACGUCUGAAUACAUUAGCAUGGAAUAAUAAAAUAGGACGGUGGUCCUGUUUUGUUGGUUUCUGAAUCACCGUAAUGAUUAAUAGGGAUAGUUGGGGGCAUUAGUAUUCAAUUGUCAGAGGUGAAAUUCUUGGAUUUAUUGAAGACUAACUUCUGCGAAAGCAUUUGCCAAGGAUGUUUUCAUUAAUCAAGAACGAAAGUUAGGGGAUCGAAGACGAUCAGAUACCGUCGUAGUCUUAACCAUAAACUAUGCCGACUAGGGAUCGGACGAUGUUAAUUUUUCUUGACUCGUUCGGCGCCUUACGGGAAAC
RNAcentral lists this ribosomal RNA (545 nucleotides) under uncultured Glomeromycotina. Its description in RNAcentral is "SSU rRNA". It matches the Rfam family "Eukaryotic small subunit ribosomal RNA", at positions 548 to 1098 of the family's 1831-position model. Lineage: Eukaryota; Fungi; Glomeromycota. The record is from RNAcentral.